Nicotiana attenuata is the source of this 144-nucleotide long non-coding RNA. RefSeq lists it as uncharacterized. NCBI's taxonomy places the organism in Eukaryota, Viridiplantae, Streptophyta, Magnoliopsida, Solanales, Solanaceae. The transcript is spliced from 2 exons. The record is from RefSeq and is a predicted model, not a curated record.
UGAUAGUUUGGAAUUUAGUUUUGAAGCACUUUCGCUUUGAUAGUCUUCUUGAUCAGUGGUUGAUGCUUAUUUGUACUGUUUGUUUAAAGCUAAUCUUGAACGACACGUGGUUCGGAACUCCAUGGAUAGUGGACCCACCUUCUA